Molecule: long non-coding RNA, 1305 nt
Filed under: Homo sapiens (human)
Lineage: Eukaryota; Metazoa; Chordata; Mammalia; Primates; Hominidae
Description: PREDICTED lncRNA (TCONS_00078811)
Rfam family: Metazoan signal recognition particle RNA (bases 174-473)
Source: RNAcentral
CCCAACCCUGUAAGGCAGAACGGCUGCCCAGCUCGGAUGACGCCACACUAACGUAGCCUCCAGACCGCCCAGUGUGGGUGUGUCCAAGCUCACGUCGCCCGGCGUGGCCCCCCCGCUCCCCAAUGACGUAACUGCCCUGCAGCUUCUAGUAGCUUUUCGCAGCGUCUCCGACCGCCGGGCGCGGUGGCGCGUGCCUGUAGUCCCAGCUACUCGGGAGGCUGAGGUGGGAGGAUCGCUUGAGCCCAGGAGUUCUGGGCUGUAGUGCGCUAUGCCGAUCGGGUGUCCGCACUAAGUUCGGCAUCAAUAUGGUGACCUCCCGGGAGCGGGGGACCACCAGGUUGCCUAAGGAGGGGUGAACCGGCCCAGGUCGGAAACGGAGCAGGUCAAAACUCCCGUGCUGAUCAGUAGUGGGAUCGCGCCUGUGAAUAGCCACUGCACUCCAGCCUGAGCAACAUAGCGAGACCCCGUCUCUUUUGCCCCCCUCCCUCAUUAAGGGUACCUUUCGCGAAAGCUCACCAGUUGACGGGAUGCUUGGGGAUUUGCAACCGCCUCAUCGCUGCCCCCUACCGGCGCAUAUUCAAAACGUCUCUGCGAAAAGCUGUUAUUACCUUCGGAGCCAACAGGGGCUGCUCGUUUACCCACAGACAGUCGGAAAAAAAUGGCCGCCGGAUCACAGAGAGCAAAAAGCAGGGCUAAUCUUCCGAAGAGGAAUCCCACUACUGCCUCCUUAUAAGGGAAAAACUCCUCUCAGAGGAACCCAGAACGCCCUGUGAUGACAGAGGUGAGGGGCCAGCGUGGCAGAAUGCACCACCCUGUCUCCUCGCUUGCUUCUCUCUCCGUCGGAUUGCCAAAAAGGGAACGGCACCUAGACGCCGAAAAGUAACUGAAGCAAAGGGAGUUUAAAGAACGCGCCCAGCCGCCUGGGUCUUGAACCCAGUGUUAAUGAGAGCAAAAACCUCUGCAUCCUCCACUGAGCUGUCCUUGAGCAUGUCUCAUAAUCAUGCUUCAUUUUAAAAACAGAAAUAAGUGAGUAAGCUAUGAAAGAAGACAACCUUUAAAUUUUUCAAAAGUUCUUGGUGGUCUGUGAUUAGAAAUUUCAUCUAUAUGAAAUAACUGUUUUGGAGGGCUUACUGUUAAAUUCAGGCAUUUUAGGGCCAGUGGAAACUGGUUAAGCAUUCACAUCAGUCUUAACAUUAAUCUGAUAAUCUACUGGGAGUUUAAAGACUCUAAGCACUAAACACAGAUUUUCCUCACUGUCUAUAAAAUGAAAGAGGAAAGAAGCAUUGUACUAAAUUUUUUAUAAAG